AUAAUCUGCAGAAAGAAAGUUUCCAUUUCAAUCUCCCUUUAUCAGAAACCCUAGCAGUUCUAAUUUUAAAUGCUCUGCAGUUUGUUUGGAGAAUAUUAAAGACUUACAAACACACAUCUCUGUUGUGAUUGAACUAAAUUUAGAACUCAAAAUGAGGGAAUGCUGUAUCACUAAUGAAAUGGUUUCUGUGUUUCAUACCAGAUUGCGAAGAACUUCAAAAGGACCGGAAUAUUUUAAAAAGCGAGAAGAAUAAACUGGGAAAAGAAAAAGAGGAUCUAAAAAGAGAGAACGAGAGACUGGGAAAAGAAAAUGGGGGACUUCUGGAGCAAAAUGGCAAGAUUAAUACAUUCAUCUCAUUCUUUUUAUUAAAUUACUUAAAUUAUUGUAUUCAUGAGCAAGAACACAAACUAAACUUUCAUUUUUUCUGUUUUAGACAUUUUAAAAAGGGAGAAAGAGAGACUGGGAAAAGAUUGCGAAGAACUUCAACAGGACCGGAAUAUUUUAAAAAGCGAGAAGAAUAAACUGGGAAAAGAAAAAGAGGAUCUAAAAAGAGAGAACGAGAGACUGGGAAAAGAAAAUGGGGGACUUCUGGAGCAAAAUGGCAAGAUUAAUACAUUCAUCUCAUUCUUUUUAUUAAAUUACUUAAAUUAUUGUAUUCAUGAGCAAGAACACAAACUAAACUUUCAUUUUUUCUGUUUUAGACAUUUUAAAAAGGGAGAAAGAGAGA
Molecule: long non-coding RNA, 727 nt
Organism: Acipenser ruthenus (sterlet)
Lineage: Eukaryota; Metazoa; Chordata; Actinopteri; Acipenseriformes; Acipenseridae
Exons: 8
Source: RefSeq, a predicted model, not a curated record